Dioscorea cayenensis subsp. rotundata (Guinea yam) is the source of this 1856-nucleotide long non-coding RNA. RefSeq lists it as uncharacterized. The transcript is spliced from 4 exons. Lineage: Eukaryota; Viridiplantae; Streptophyta; Magnoliopsida; Dioscoreales; Dioscoreaceae. The record is from RefSeq and is a predicted model, not a curated record.
ACAUUAUUUGGACAGAUCUAUCGCCUCCAGAAUUUUUUCAUGUGUUGAAGUGGUUAUAUAUAUCAGGAUGUAAUUUGGAUAAUUUAGCUUGGGUCCUGCAUCUCCCAUGUCUUGUACAUUUAGAAAUAGAAGAUUGUGCAGAGAUAGAAACGUUGUUUUACAUCGAGGAGGAGAGAGAAAUCCAACAACAACAAGUCUCAGAACACCGCCCAACAUUCCCUGCAUUGACAUCACUGAAGAUAACCAAGCUACCAAAAUUAGUGAGAAUAAGCAAUUUUGCAUUGGAUUUCCCUCAACUUUUAUGGCUGACAGUGAGUCGAUGUCCUACUCUUAAGAAGUUUCCAUUCAAGAGUGGCAUUAACAACAAUCAAAGAAUGAUACACAUUAAUUGUGAGAGAGAAUGGUGGGAAAGCUUAGAUUGGGAUGAUGCCACCAUCUCAUCUCACUUUUAUACACAUUUCCACCAGGAUGAGAACCCUAAUGAAUGCUCGACUAGUGGAAGUAAAUGAAAGGUCUUUGAGUUUUCUAUGUUUCUGUCUGCACAAGUUAGAGAUCAUCUCAUGCUCAAACCAAGUCUUUAAUUUCCUGGGUUUUACAUCUCCAAAAGCUUCUCAGAACUACAACUUCUCUUCUCAAUUAAUCAGUGAUCUACCAAAGUUACAGUGCCAUUAUGCUCUGAAUUGCUCGUGUUGUUUCUGGUUUUCUUCUCAAAUUUGAACUCUUUGAUUGGUUUUUUAUUUAUGCCGGUGUGAAGACAUUAUUAUUUGGUUUCCAAGUUUGAGGUUUGUUUACCAUUAUUUUCUUUUGUAAUUUUUAAGUGAAGUCUAGCUUGAAAGUUGAUCGAUUGAAGACAUUAAUCGUUGGGUUGUAUCUUUCAUUCAAACUAUAUUUUCAAGUAAGUUGUGCUUUGUUAGCAUGGUGGAAGCAUAUAUAUAUAUACACAUAUAUAUAUCUGUAAAAUAUUGUUUAUUUGUUAUUUUCACUUGCAUAUUGCUAAGGAUUAAUUGUGGACUUUGUCAAACUUUGAAAGCCUUAGUUUUGUUAAUGUACAGAAUGGUCUAAAUGAGGGGCUUUCAGACCUAACUUUGUUUUUGGUGUUACUAUUGUGAUUUUUUUUUUUUGUAUUUUCUCUCUCUUCUUCUUUUGGCAGGUUAAAGAGCAAAACAAAGGCAAAAGGUGUUAAUUGAUAAAUAUGUUGCUACAGUUGGUAAAGCUAUUUAUGGAAAAGGAGGCUUUGGUACUUCAAAAAAGAGUUUUCAUUGAGAUCAAGAUGUGUGGAGAUUCUUUAUCUUUUCGGUAGUAAUAGCAAGAUUCUAUUCAUCAAGCCAAGGCAAACUUGUUCGAGAAUCAAAAGUUUAAUACCAGAAUACUAAAGAAGCAUUGGGUCUUUUGUUACAACAGUUUAUGAUAAGGUGUGGGCAAAUGUGUUGUUAGCUUGCUAGUGGGAAUGAAGUGCAUGGAGCUUCCUUGAGUAUAGCAAGUAUUCAACAACUUGAGGAAAAUGAGAACCAGAUCAUCAAUCUCUUUGAAGAUCCAACAACCUGAUGAUCAAUCAAAGCUUUGAUUUCGCAAUGCUACUGAAGAGCAUUAACAAAUUCUCAAGUUGAAUCCAGAUUAGGGAACAAGAGAAGAUAAGUUUAGCAAGGCAUAAUUUUGAUCAAGCGAACAAUUCGACGAAGCAAAAUUUGGAUAGCUGAAAAAUUAUGUCAUGCUCAUCAAUAUUUAUUAUAUGAUUGAAUUGCUCAUCACACAUUGAGCAGUUUUUCUCAAACAGAAUUCAUCACUUGUCCAAUCAUUAAAAACUGAUGUAUCCUUGUUGUCAAAUGUCACCUCCAUUAUCCAAAUCUUUAUUUAAC